UUCGGGGAACGAUAACGGCGUCGAGCGGCGGACGGGUGAGUAAUGCCUAGGAAAUUGCCCUGAUGUGGGGGAUAACCAUUGGAAACGAUGGCUAAUACCGCAUGAUGCCUACGGGCCAAAGAGGGGGACCUUCGGGCCUCUCGCGUCAGGAUAUGCCUAGGUGGGAUUAGCUAGUUGGUGAGGUAAGGGCUCACCAAGGCAACGAUCCCUAGCUGGUCUGAGAGGAUGAUCAGCCACACUGGAACUGAGACACGGUCCAGACUCCUACGGGAGGCAGCAGUGGGGAAUAUUGCACAAUGGGCGCAAGCCUGAUGCAGCCAUGCCGCGUGUAUGAAGAAGGCCUUCGGGUUGUAAAGUACUUUCAGUCGUGAGGAAGGCGGCGUCGUUAAUAGCGGCGUUGUUUGACGUUAGCGACAGAAGAAGCACCGGCUAACUCCGUGCCAGCAGCCGCGGUAAUACGGAGGGUGCGAGCGUUAAUCGGAAUUACUGGGCGUAAAGCGCAUGCAGGUGGUUUGUUAAGUCAGAUGUGAAAGCCCGGGGCUCAACCUCGGAAUAGCAUUUGAAACUGGCAGACUAGAGUACUGUAGAGGGGGGUAGAAUUUCAGGUGUAGCGGUGAAAUGCGUAGAGAUCUGAAGGAAUACCGGUGGC
Molecule: ribosomal RNA, 649 nt
Filed under: Vibrio antiquarius
Lineage: Bacteria; Pseudomonadati; Pseudomonadota; Gammaproteobacteria; Vibrionales; Vibrionaceae
Description: bacterial SSU rRNA
Rfam family: Bacterial small subunit ribosomal RNA
Source: RNAcentral